RNAcentral lists this transfer RNA (73 nucleotides) under Armatimonas rosea. It matches the Rfam family "tRNA". Rfam says of the family: Transfer RNA (tRNA) molecules are approximately 80 nucleotides in length. Their secondary structure includes four short double-helical elements and three loops (D, anti-codon, and T loops). Lineage: Bacteria; Bacillati; Armatimonadota; Armatimonadia; Armatimonadales; Armatimonadaceae. The record is from Rfam by way of RNAcentral.
GGGAGUUUAGCUCAGCUGGUAGAGCGCAGGUCUCCAAAACCUGAUGCCAGGGGUUCAAAUCCUCUAACUCCCG